UGGAGAGUUUGAUCCUGGCUCAGGAUGAACGCUGGCGGCGUGCUUAACACAUGCAAGUCGAGCGAAGCRAUUUUAAGGAAGCCUUCGGGUGGAAUUAAAAYUGACUUAGCGGCGGACGGGUGAGUAACGCGUGGGUAACCUGCCUCAUACAGGGGGAUAACAGUUAGAAAUGACUGCUAAUACCGCAUAAGCGCACAGUGCUGCAUAGCACAGUGUGAAAAACUCCGGUGGUAUGAGAUGGACCCGCGUCUGAUUAGGUAGUUGGUGAGGUAACGGCCCACCAAGCCGACGAUCAGUAGCCGACCUGAGAGGGUGACCGGCCACAUUGGGACUGAGACACGGCCCAAACUCCUACGGGAGGCAGCAGUGGGGAAUAUUGGACAAUGGGGGAAACCCUGAUCCAGCGACGCCGCGUGACUGAAGAAGUAUUUCGGUAUGUAAAGGUCUAUCAGCAGGGAAGAAAAUGACGGUACCUGACUAAGAAGCCCCGGCUAACUACGUGCCAGCAGCCGCGGUA
RNAcentral lists this ribosomal RNA (517 nucleotides) under Clostridium sp. 10806. RNAcentral's name for it is "bacterial SSU rRNA". It matches the Rfam family "Bacterial small subunit ribosomal RNA", at positions 1 to 522 of the family's 1533-position model. The record is from RNAcentral. Lineage: Bacteria; Bacillati; Bacillota; Clostridia; Eubacteriales; Clostridiaceae.